Molecule: ribosomal RNA, 121 nt
Filed under: endosymbiont of unidentified scaly snail isolate Monju
Lineage: Bacteria; Pseudomonadati; Pseudomonadota; Gammaproteobacteria
Source: RNAcentral
UUGCCUGGCGGCCAUAGAGCAUUGGAACCACCUGAUCCCAUCCCGAACUCAGAAGUGAAACAGUGCAUCGCCGAUGGUAGUGUGGGGCUUCCCCAUGUGAGAGUAGGUCACCGCCAGGCUU